GUGGGGAAUAUUGGACAAUGGGCGAAAGCCUGAUCCAGCCAUGCCGCGUGUGUGAAGAAGGUCUUCGGAUUGUAAAGCACUUUAAGUUGGGAGGAAGGGCAGUAAGUUAAUACCUUGCUGUUUUGACGUUACCGACAGAAUAAGCACCGGCUAACUUCGUGCCAGCAGCCGCGGUAAUACGAAGGGUGCAAGCGUUAAUCGGAAUUACUGGGCGUAAAGCGCGCGUAGGUGGUUUUGUAAGUUGGAGGUGAAAUCCCCGGGCUCAACCUGGGAACUGCCUCCAAAACUGAGUGACUAGAGUACGGUAGAGGGUAGUGGAAUUUCCUGUGUAGCGGUGAAAUGCGUAGAUAUAGGAAGGAACACCAGUGGCGAAGGCGACUACCUGGACUGAUACUGACACUGAGGUGCGAAAGCGUGGGGAGCAAACAGGAUUAGAUACCCCAGUAGUCC
Molecule: ribosomal RNA, 450 nt
Filed under: uncultured bacterium
Lineage: Bacteria
Description: partial 16S ribosomal RNA
Rfam family: Bacterial small subunit ribosomal RNA
Source: RNAcentral